Molecule: ribosomal RNA, 437 nt
Filed under: uncultured bacterium
Lineage: Bacteria
Description: partial 16S ribosomal RNA
Rfam family: Bacterial small subunit ribosomal RNA
Source: RNAcentral
AGCGAACGCUGGCGGCAGGCUUAACACAUGCAAGUCGAGCGGGCAUCCUUGUGGUGUCAGCGGCAGACGGGUGAGUAACGCGUGGGAACGUGCCCUUCGGUUCGGAAUAACUCAGGGAAACUUGAGCUAAUACCGGAUACGUGCGAGAGCAGAAAGGUUUAUCUGCCGAAGGAUCGGCCCGCGUCUGAUUAGCUAGUUGGUGAGGUUACGGCUCACCAAGGCGACGAUCAGUAGCUGGUCUGAGAGGAUGAUCAGCCACACUGGGACUGAGACACGGCCCAGACUCCUACGGGAGGCAGCAGUGGGGAAUAUUGGACAAUGGGGGCAACCCUGAUCCAGCCAUGCCGCGUGAGUGAUGACGGCCUUAGGGUUGUAAAGCUCUUUUCUCCGGGUCGAUAAUGACGGUACCGGAGGAAUAAGCCCCGGCUAACUUCGUG